AAGUCGUAACAAGGUUUCCGUAGGUGAACCUGCGGAAGGAUCAUUAACGAGUUUUGAAAGGGGUUGUCGCUGGCCUUUCACGAGGCAUGUGCACACCCUGCUCAUCCACUCUCAACCUCUGUGCACUUAUUGUAGGUCGGCGGAAGGCUCGCAAGAGCUGGAAGCCUGCUUAUGUUUUACUACAAACGCUUCAGUUAUAGAAUGUUUACUUGCGUAUAGCGCAUUUAUAUACAACUUUCAGCAACGGAUCUCUUGGCUCUC
RNAcentral lists this unclassified non-coding RNA (261 nucleotides) under Hyphodermella rosae. RNAcentral's name for it is "partial internal transcribed spacer region". The stretch from base 1 to 46 matches the Rfam family "Eukaryotic small subunit ribosomal RNA", at positions 1786 to 1831 of the family's 1831-position model. The record is from RNAcentral. Lineage: Eukaryota; Fungi; Basidiomycota; Agaricomycetes; Polyporales; Phanerochaetaceae.